UACAGAGGUCUCAAGCGUUGUUCGGAUUCAUUGGGCGUAAAGGGUGUGUAGGUGGCGCCGUAAGUCGGGUGUGAAAUUUCGGAGCUUAACUCCGAAAUUGCAUUCGAUACUGCGGUGCUUGAGGACUGGAGAGGAGACUGGAAUUCAUGGUGUAGCAGUGAAAUGCGUAGAGAUCAUGAGGAAGACCAGUGGCGAAGGCGGGUCUCUGGGACGGUACUGACGCUGAGACGCGAAAGCGUGGGGAGCGAACAGG
This 253-nucleotide ribosomal RNA is filed under the name uncultured bacterium. RNAcentral's name for it is "partial 16S ribosomal RNA". It matches the Rfam family "Bacterial small subunit ribosomal RNA", at positions 524 to 776 of the family's 1533-position model. The record is from RNAcentral.